Molecule: ribosomal RNA, 761 nt
Filed under: uncultured rumen protozoa
Lineage: Eukaryota
Description: bacterial SSU rRNA
Rfam family: Eukaryotic small subunit ribosomal RNA
Source: RNAcentral
UACGAACGAAGCAUGCAGAGUUCAUAUCAAGACGAAGAAGGGAUCAAGCAUCAAACCGUUGUAGUCAUCUUAACUAGCGCUAGGAUGAAUGGAAACAUCACAUUCAGUACUAAGAGAAUCAAGUCUUGGUUCGGGGAGUACGUCGCAGACUGAACCUAAAGAAAUGACGAAGGCACCACCAGGAGGGAGCUGCGGCUAAUUGACUCAACACGGAAGCUUACCAGUCCAGACAUAGUCACGCAUGACAGAUGAUAGCUCUUCAUGAUGCGUAUGAGGUGGUGGUGCAUGCCGUCUUAGUGGUGGAGGUGAUUGUCUGUUCUGUUCGUCUUGUCUUCCUGCUAAUUAGAUCCUUUAUCUAUAGUCGGCAUCUCUUAGAGGGACUAUGUAAAACAAAUACAUGGAAGUUUGAGGCAAUAACAGGUCAGUGAUGCCCUUAUAUGUCCUGGGGUGCGCGCGUGCUACACUGAUGUAUACAACAAGUGCCUAGUCAGACAUGGCAUGGCAAUCUCGAAUAUGCAUCGUGAUGGGGAUAGAUCUUUGCAAUUAUAGAUCUUGAACGAGGAAUUCCUAGUAAGUGCAAGUCAUCAUCUUGCGAUUGAUUAUGUCCCUGCCCUUUGUACACACCGCCCGUCGCUCCUACCGAUACCGGGGGGGCGAAGAAAAACCUUUUGGACCUGCAAGGGGAAGAUAAGUAAACCAUAUCACCUAGAGGAAGGAGAAGUCGUAACAAGGUUCCUUUUACCUGCAGAAGGACAAACGGA